UCCUACGGGAGGCAGCAGUGGGGAAUAUUGCACAAUGGAGGAAACUCUGAUGCAGCGACGCCGCGUGAGUGAAGAAGGUCUUCGGAUCGUAAAACUCUGUCCUUGGUGAAGAUAAUGACGGUAGCCAAGGAGGAAGCCCCGGCUAACUACGUGCCAGCAGCCGCGGUAAUACGUAGGGGGCUAGCGUUGUCCGGAUUUACUGGGCGUAAAGGGUGAGUAGGCGGUUGCAUAAGUCAGAUGUAAAAGGCUAAGGCUUAACCAUAGUAUGCAUUUGAAACUGUGUGACUUGAGUACAGGAGAGGUAAGCGGAAUUCCUAGUGUAGCGGUGAAACGCGUAGAUAUUAGGAGGAACACCAGUGGCGAAGGCGGCUUACUGGACUGUAACUGACGCUGAGUCACGAAAGCGUGGGUAGCAAACAGGAUUAGAUACCCUGGUAGUCCACGCUGUAAACGAUGAGUGCUAGGUGUUGGGUAGCGAUACUCAGUGCCGAAGUAAACACAAUAAGCACUCCGCCUGGGGAGUACGGUCGCAAGACUGAAACUCAAAGGAAUUGACGGA
Molecule: ribosomal RNA, 559 nt
Filed under: uncultured bacterium
Lineage: Bacteria
Description: bacterial SSU rRNA
Rfam family: Bacterial small subunit ribosomal RNA
Source: RNAcentral